GGGAUUGUAGUUCAAUUGGUCAGAGCAUCGCCGUCAAGGCAGAAGCUGCGGGUUCGCGCCCCGUCAGUCCCG
This 72-nucleotide transfer RNA is filed under the name Gossypium hirsutum (cotton). It matches the Rfam family "tRNA". From Rfam's summary of the family: Transfer RNA (tRNA) molecules are approximately 80 nucleotides in length. Lineage: Eukaryota; Viridiplantae; Streptophyta; Magnoliopsida; Malvales; Malvaceae. The record is from Rfam by way of RNAcentral.